CCUACGGGCGGCAGCAGUGAGGAAUAUUGGUCAAUGGGCGUAAGCCUGAACCAGCCAAGUCGCGUGAGGGAUGAAGGUUCUAUGGAUCGUAAACCUCUUUUAUAAGGGAAUAAAGUGUGGGACGUGUCCUAUUUUGUAUGUACCUUAUGAAUAAGGAUCGGCUAACUCCGUGCCAGCAGCCGCGGUAAUACGGAGGAUCCGAGCGUUAUACGGAUUUAUUGGGUUUAAAGGGUGCGUAGGCGGCCUUAUAAGUCAGCGGUGAAAGUCUGUGGCUCAACCAUAGAAUUGCCGUUGAAACUGGGGGGCUUGAGUAUGUUAGAGGCAGGUGGAAUGCGUGGUGUAGCGGUGAAAUGCGUAGAUAUCACGCAGAACCCCGAUUGCGAAGGCAGCCUGCCAAGCCAUGACUGACGCUGAGGCACGAAAGCGUGGGGAUCAAACAGGAUUAGAUACCCCAGUAGUC
Molecule: ribosomal RNA, 460 nt
Filed under: uncultured bacterium
Lineage: Bacteria
Description: partial 16S ribosomal RNA
Rfam family: Bacterial small subunit ribosomal RNA
Source: RNAcentral